CCUACGGGGGGCAGCAGUGGGGAAUAUUGGACAAUGGGGGGAACCCUGAUCCAGCCAUGCCGCGUGUGUGAAUAAGGCCCUCGGGUUGUAAAGCACUUUCAGUGAGGAAGAACGCCUGGUGGUUAAUACCCAUCAGGAAAGACAUCACUCACAGAAGAAGCACCGGCUAACUCCGUGCCAGCAGCCGCGGUAAUACGGAGGGUGCGAGCGUUAAUCGGAAUUACUGGGCGUAAAGCGCGCGUAGGUGGCUUGAUAAGCCGGUUGUGAAAGCCCCGGGCUCAACCUGGGAACGGCAUCCGGAACUGUCAAGCUAGAGUGCAGGAGAGGAAGGUAGAAUUCCCGGUGUAGCGGUGAAAUGCGUAGAGAUCGGGAGGAAUACCAGUGGCGAAGGCGGCCUUCUGGACUGACACUGACACUGAGGUGCGAAAGCGUGGGUAGCAAACAGGAUUAGAUACCCUAGUAGUC
RNAcentral lists this ribosomal RNA (465 nucleotides) under Vreelandella stevensii. RNAcentral describes it as "partial 16S ribosomal RNA". It matches the Rfam family "Bacterial small subunit ribosomal RNA", at positions 338 to 795 of the family's 1533-position model. Lineage: Bacteria; Pseudomonadati; Pseudomonadota; Gammaproteobacteria; Oceanospirillales; Halomonadaceae. The record is from RNAcentral.